RNAcentral lists this ribosomal RNA (492 nucleotides) under uncultured bacterium. Its description in RNAcentral is "partial 16S ribosomal RNA". It matches the Rfam family "Bacterial small subunit ribosomal RNA", at positions 28 to 507 of the family's 1533-position model. The record is from RNAcentral.
GAUGAACGCUAGCUACAGGCUUAACACAUGCAAGUCGAGGGGAAACGACAUCGAAAGCUUGCUUUUGAUGGGCGUCGACCGGCGCACGGGUGAGUAACGCGUAUCCAACCUGCCCAUCACUUGGGAAUAACCUUGCGAAAGUAAGACUAAUACCCAAUGACAUCCCACGAAGACAUCUGAAUGGGAUUAAAGAUUUAUCGGUGAUGGAUGGGGAUGCGUCUGAUUAGCUUGUUGGCGGGGUAACGGCCCACCAAGGCAACGAUCAGUAGGGGUUCUGAGAGGAAGGUCCCCCACAUUGGAACUGAGACACGGUCCAAACUCCUACGGGAGGCAGCAGUGAGGAAUAUUGGUCAAUGGGCGAGAGCCUGAACCAGCCAAGUAGCGUGCAGGAUGACGGCCCUAUGGGUUGUAAACUGCUUUUAUAAGGGAAUAAAGUGGGUCUCGUGAGACUUUUUGCAGGUACCUUAUGAAUAAGGACCGGCUAAUUCCGUG